GCCAGACUCCUACGGGAGGCAGCAGUGGGGGAUAUUGCACAAUGGGGGAAACCCUGAUGCAGCGACGCCGCGUGGGCGAAGAAGUAUUUCGGUAUGUAAAGCCCUAUCAGCAGGGAAGAAGAAAUGACGGUACCUGAGUAAGAAGCACCGGCUAAAUACGUGCCAGCAGCCGCGGUAAUACGUAUGGUGCAAGCGUUAUCCGGAUUUACUGGGUGUACAGGGGGCGCAGACGGCAGCGCAAGCCAGGAGUGAAAGCCCGGGGCCCAACCCCGGGACUGCUCUUGGAACUGGGUGGCUGGAGUGCAGGAGGGGCAGGCGGAAUUCCUGGUGUAGCGGUGAAAUGCGUAGAUAUCAGGAGGAACACCGGUGGCGAAGGCGGCCUGCUGGACUGCAACUGACGUUGAGGCCCGAAAGCGUGGGGAGCAAACAGGAUUAGAUACCCUGGUAC
Molecule: ribosomal RNA, 448 nt
Filed under: uncultured bacterium
Lineage: Bacteria
Description: bacterial SSU rRNA
Rfam family: Bacterial small subunit ribosomal RNA
Source: RNAcentral